Molecule: non-coding RNA, 270 nt
Organism: Paramuricea clavata
Lineage: Eukaryota; Metazoa; Cnidaria; Anthozoa; Malacalcyonacea; Plexauridae
Source: the annotation of a GenBank genome assembly
CAUUUCUGAGCGUCUACAGGUUUGCGGUUAUUAAAAAUUUCAAAUGCUUUUUGAAAAGCCUUAUUACUACAAACAUAGCAUAAUGCCUGGAUAUAAUGUGUGGGAAAACGAGACCUAUAGGCUUAGGGUACUUGCGUAGCCAGCUCGAUAAGUGUGGGGGGGGGGGGGGGGGGGGCAUAUUCAUAUAUUCGUAUUCACAGAUCGUAAAGACAAUCAAUUUCAAAAGAAACUAAUAACGCAGAACACAAAUAUAUGAAUAUGUCCCCCCCC